Molecule: unclassified non-coding RNA, 208 nt
Filed under: plant metagenome
Description: partial contains small subunit ribosomal RNA and internal transcribed spacer 1
Rfam family: Eukaryotic small subunit ribosomal RNA (bases 1-46)
Source: RNAcentral
AAGUCGUAACAAGGUUUCCGUAGGUGAACCUGCGGAAGGAUCAUUAGUGAAUUAUAGGGCGUCUACUUGUAGAGCCUGACCUCCACUUCUAACACUGUGCACUUGAUGGCGAGGUAAUUAUGAUUAGGCCUUCGGGCUUAUGAUGAGAACCUCGCGGCUUCAUUUUAAACAUUAGUCAAAGUAUGUAAAGAAAUUUAAAACAAAAAAA